AACUACCCUACCCAGCAUGCAACAGGAGUGAGGAGCAUGUAUAGGUUGUGUCGCCAUGACGGCAUCUUGUAUGUUGUGAUAUGCAGGCUCUGAAAGCAAAUGUUAAGAACUCAGCCAACACUCCUCGUCUGCAUUAUUGAUAAAUAGACAGACAACACAUAUACUCCGCUGCUUCACAAAGCACAAUAUGUUAAAUGUUUACUUUUACAGUUUUCUAAUUCUUCCCUUCAGAUUGACAGCAGGACAAAUCGCUGGAAGUAGGUAUGUCUCAAGCUUCUUCCACUUGGUCCACUCCAAAGCGGGCUGCAAAGGGGAAGAAGUGGAAGCAGUUGAAUGACACAUGUUGCAUUUUGUAACUGGCAACAAAGUACCAGGUAAAAAAGAUUGUGAAGCCUGCCUCCAUAAAGAACUAGUAGCUCUACAGGACAGAGAUUGGCUUGCCAUCAAGUACUACAUCCAUAACAGAAUUAUAUUAAAAAAAGGGGAAAAAAAUGUUUUCCCACAUCUUCUGUGGUAGUUUGAGUAUGUUACCAGCAAUUAAAAAAGCAAAAUAAA
Molecule: long non-coding RNA, 555 nt
Organism: Nerophis ophidion (straightnose pipefish)
Lineage: Eukaryota; Metazoa; Chordata; Actinopteri; Syngnathiformes; Syngnathidae
Exons: 2
Source: RefSeq, a predicted model, not a curated record